UGUGAAUGAUGACCUUCUUUACCCUGACUCUGACAUGGAGGCAAAAAACUGAUUUAAUGAGCCUGACAC
Molecule: small nucleolar RNA, 69 nt
Organism: Tachysurus vachellii
Lineage: Eukaryota; Metazoa; Chordata; Actinopteri; Siluriformes; Bagridae
Source: RefSeq, a predicted model, not a curated record